AUGUCUUGUUUCAAGCUUUCCCAUGGUCUUUGUGAACACAUAAAUGGCUUGCUCCAGAAGUUUUGGUGGGGUAGUAGAAGAGGAGAAAGAAAGAUAGUGUGGGUCUCAUGAAAGACAAUGUCCAAACCAAAGUUCAUGGGAGGCAUGGGAUCUCGAGACAUUGAAUUAUUCAAUCUAGCUUUACUCACGCGUCAAGCAUGCACACUUAUGCAAGAUCCAAACUCGCUAAGUGCUCGGGUCUUAAAAGCAUGAUAUUAUCCGGAGUGUGAGUUACUUGAUGCGCCUUUGGGCUCGAACCCAUCACAGGUAUGGCGAUCCAUCAGAGGAGGGCGUGAGGUGCUCUCGCUUGGAUUGAUCAAACGGACACGAGCAGGAGCUCAUAUGAAGAUUUUGCAGGACAAAUGGCUCCUGAGGGACUAUAGUUUGAGGCCGAUUUGUGCUAUAUCACAGAACCCGCUGACAUUUGUUUCUGAACUCAUAGAUGGGGCGACCAAAACAUGGAACCAACUAGUUCUUCUAACCAUUUUAUAG
This 531-nucleotide ribosomal RNA is filed under the name Triticum aestivum (bread wheat). RNAcentral describes it as "partial small subunit ribosomal RNA". The record is from RNAcentral. Lineage: Eukaryota; Viridiplantae; Streptophyta; Magnoliopsida; Poales; Poaceae.